GAUGAACGCUGGCGGCGUGCUUAACACAUGCAAGUCGAACGGUGAAGGCGGAGCUUGCUCUGCUGGAUCAGUGGCGAACGGGUGAGUAACACGUGAGCAAUCUGCCCCUGACUCUGGGAUAAGCGCUGGAAACGGCGUCUAAUACUGGAUACGAGCUGCGAAGGCAUCUUCAGCAGCUGGAAAGAACUUCGGUCAGGGAUGAGCUCGCGGCCUAUCAGCUUGUUGGUGAGGUAACGGCUCACCAAGGCGUCGACGGGUAGCCGGCCUGAGAGGGUGACCGGCCAAAAUGGGAAUGAGGAACGGCCCAAACUCCUAAGGGAGGCAGGAGGUGGGAAUAUUGCACAAUGGGCGAAAGCCUGAUGCAGCAACGCCGCGUGAGGGACGACGGCCUUCGGGUUGUAAACCUCUUUUAGCAGGGAAGAAGCGAAAGUGACGGUACCUGCAGAAAAAGCGCCGGCUAACUACGUG
Molecule: ribosomal RNA, 468 nt
Filed under: uncultured bacterium
Lineage: Bacteria
Description: partial 16S ribosomal RNA
Rfam family: Bacterial small subunit ribosomal RNA
Source: RNAcentral